AUAUGCUUGUCUCAAAGAUUAAGCCAUGCAUGUCUAAGUAUAAGCAAUCUAUACAGUGAAACUGCGAAUGGCUCAUUAAAUCAGUUAUCGUUUAUUUGAUAGUACCUUACUACUUGGAUAACCGUGGUAAUUCUAGAGCUAAUACAUGCUAAAAACCCCGACUUCGGAAGGGGUGUAUUUAUUAGAUAAAAAACCAAUGCUCUUCGGGGCUCCUUGGUGAUUCAUGAUAACUUAACGAAUCGCAUGGCCUUGUGCCGGCGAUGGUUCAUUCAAAUUUCUGCCCUAUCAACUUUCGAUGGUAGGAUAGUGGCCUACCAUGGUUUCAACGGGUAACGGGGAAUUAGGGUUCUAUUCCGGAGAGGGAGCCUGAGAAACGGCUACCACAUCCAAGGAAGGCAGCAGGCGCGCAAAUUACCCAAUCCCGACACGGGGAGGUAGUGACAAUAAAUACUGAUACAGGGCUCUUUUGGGUCUUGUAAUUGGAAUGAGUACAAUUUAAAUCCCUUAACGAGGAACAAAUGGAGGNNNNNNNNNNNNNNNNNNNNNGCGGUAAUUCCAGCUCCAAUAGCGUAUAUUAAAGUUGUUGCAGUUAAAAAGCUCGUAGUUGAACCUUGGGCCUGGCUGGCCGGUCCGCCUCACCGCGUGCACUGGUCCGGCCGGGCCUUUCCUCCUGGGGAGCCGCAUGCCCUUCACUGGGUGUGUCGGGGAACCAGGACUUUUACUUUGAAAAAAUUAGAGUGUUCAAAGCAGGCCUAUGCUCGAAUACAUUAGCAUGGAAUAAUAGAAUAGGACGUGUGGUUCUAUUUUGUUGGUUUCUAGGACCGCCGUAAUGAUUAAUAGGGAUAGUCGGGGGCAUCAGUAUUCAAUUGUCAGAGGUGAAAUUCUUGGAUUUAUUGAAGACUAACUACUGCGAAAGCAUUUGCCAAGGAUGUUUUCAUUAAUCAGUGAACGAAAGUUAGGGGAUCGAAGACGAUCAGAUACCGUCGUAGUCUUAACCAUAAACUAUGCCGACUAGGGAUCGGGCGAUGUUAUCUUUUUGACUCGCUCGGCACCUUACGAGAAAUCAAAGUUUUUGGGUUC
Molecule: ribosomal RNA, 1080 nt
Filed under: Leuconeurospora pulcherrima
Lineage: Eukaryota; Fungi; Ascomycota; Leotiomycetes; Thelebolales; Pseudeurotiaceae
Description: SSU rRNA
Rfam family: Eukaryotic small subunit ribosomal RNA
Source: RNAcentral